This 518-nucleotide ribosomal RNA is filed under the name uncultured Oxalobacteraceae bacterium. Its description in RNAcentral is "bacterial SSU rRNA". It matches the Rfam family "Bacterial small subunit ribosomal RNA", at positions 1 to 510 of the family's 1533-position model. The record is from RNAcentral. Lineage: Bacteria; Pseudomonadati; Pseudomonadota; Betaproteobacteria; Burkholderiales; Oxalobacteraceae.
ACGACUACAGAGAGUUUGAUCAUGGCUCAGAUUGAACGCUGGCGGCAUGCCUUACACAUGCAAGUCGAACGGCAGCACGGGGGCAACCCUGGUGGCGAGUGGCGAACGGGUGAGUAAUAUAUCGGAACGUGCCCUAGAGUGGGGGAUAACGUAGCGAAAGUUACGCUAAUACCGCAUACGAUCUAUGGAUGAAAGCGGGGGAUCGCAAGACCUCGUGCCCCUGGAGCGGCCGAUAUCUGAUUAGCUAGUUGGUGAGGUAAAAGCUCACCAAGGCGACGAUCGGUAGCUGGUUUGAGAGAACGACCAGCCACACUGGGACUGAGACACGGCCCAGACUCCUACGGGAGGCAGCAGUGGGGAAUUUUGGACAAUGGGGGCAACCCUGAUCCAGCAAUGCCGCGUGUGUGAAGAAGGCCUUCGGGUUGUAAAAGCACUUUUGUCCGGAACGAAACGCGCUGAGCUAAUAUCUCGGCGUAAUGACGGUACCGGAAGAAUAAGCACCGGCUAACUACGUGCCA